Molecule: ribosomal RNA, 301 nt
Filed under: uncultured bacterium
Lineage: Bacteria
Description: partial 16S ribosomal RNA
Rfam family: Bacterial small subunit ribosomal RNA
Source: RNAcentral
CAGUAGCCGCGGUAAUACGUAGGUGGCGAGCGUUGUCCGGAAUUAUUGGGCGUAAAGGGAGCGCAGGCGGACAUAUAAGUCCAUCUUAAAAGUGCGGGGCUCAACCCCGUGAGGGGAUGGAAACUGUAUGCCUUGAGUGCAGGAGAGGAAAGCGGAAUUCCCAGUGUAGCGGUGAAAUGCGUAGAUAUUGGGAGGAACACCAGUGGCGAAGGCGGCUUUCUGGACUGCAACUGACGCUGAGGCUCGAAAGCCAGGGGAGCGAACGGGAUUAGAUACCCGCGUAGUCCCUGUCUCUUAUACA